Molecule: ribosomal RNA, 305 nt
Filed under: Klebsiella pneumoniae
Lineage: Bacteria; Pseudomonadati; Pseudomonadota; Gammaproteobacteria; Enterobacterales; Enterobacteriaceae
Description: bacterial SSU rRNA
Rfam family: Bacterial small subunit ribosomal RNA
Source: RNAcentral
ACGGGUGAGUAAUGUCUGGGAAACUGCCUGAUGGAGGGGGAUAACUACUGGAAACGGUAGCUAAUACCGCAUAACGUCGCAAGACCAAAGUGGGGGACCUUCGGGCCUCAUGCCAUCAGAUGUGCCCAGAUGGGAUUAGCUAGUAGGUGGGGUAACGGCUCACCUAGGCGACGAUCCCUAGCUGGUCUGAGAGGAUGACCAGCCACACUGGAACUGAGACACGGUCCAGACUCCUACGGGAGGCAGCAGUGGGGAAUAUUGCACAAUGGGCGCAAGCCUGAUGCAGCCAUGCCGCGUUGUGUGAA